ACGCACGCUGGCGGCGUGCUUCACCCCUGCAAGUCGCACGGAAAGGCCCUGCUUUUGUGGGGUGCUCGAGUGGCGAACGGGUGAGUAACACGUGAGUAACCUGCCCUUGACUUUGGGAUAACUUCAUGAAACUGGGGCUGAUACCGGAUAGGAGCUCCUGCUGCAUGGUGGGGGUUGGAAAGUUUCGGCGGUUGGGGAUGGACUCGCGGCUUAUCAGCUUGUUGGUGGGGUAGUGGCUUACCAAGGCUUUGACGGGUAGCCGGCCUGAGAGGGUGACCGGCCACAUUGGGACUGAGAUACGGCCCAGACUCCUACGGGAGGCAGCAGUGGGGAAUAUUGCACAAUGGGCGGAAGCCUGAUGCAGCAACGCCGCGUGCGGGAUGACGGCCUUCGGGUUGUAAACCGCUUUCGCCUGUGACGAAGCGUGAGUGACGGUAAUGGGUAAAGAAGCACCGGCUAACUACGUG
RNAcentral lists this ribosomal RNA (467 nucleotides) under uncultured bacterium. RNAcentral's name for it is "partial 16S ribosomal RNA". It matches the Rfam family "Bacterial small subunit ribosomal RNA", at positions 29 to 507 of the family's 1533-position model. The record is from RNAcentral.